UUCCGGUUGAUCCUGCCGGAGGCUACCGCUAUUGGAGUUCGAUUAAGCCAUGCGAGUCGCGAGAAAUUAGAUUCUCGGCGUACCGCUCAGUAACACGUGGGUAACCUGCCCUAUGCUGGAUAAUAACCUCGGGAAACUGAGAAUAAUGAUCCAUAGUUCACUACGCCUGGAACGGUGAGUGGAUGAAAGCUCCGGCGGCAUAGGAUGGGCCUGCGGCGUAUCAGGUUGUAGGGGGUGUAACGUACCCUCUAGCCCUCUACGCGUACGGGUGUUGGGAGACAUAGCCCGGAGAUGGAUUCUGAGACAUGAAUCCAGACCCUACGGGGUGCAGCAGGCGCGAAAACUUGGCAAUGCGAGAAAUCGUGACCAGGGAACUCCAAGUGCAUGGGGUAAGACCCAUGCUUUUCUUGACUCUAAAUAGGUCUUGGAAUAAGGGGUGGGUAAGGACGGUGCCAGCCGCCGCGGUAAUACCGGCGCCUCAAGUGGUAGUCGCUUUUAUUGGGCCUAAAACGUCCGUAGCCGGUCUGAUACAUUCGUGGGUAAAUCAACCAGCUUAACUGGUUGAAUUCUGCGAGGACGGUCAGACUUGGGACCGGGAGAGGUGUGGGGUACGCUCAGGGUAGGGGUAAAAUCCUGUCAUCCUGAGCGGACCACCUGUUGCGAAGGCGCCACACUAGAACGGAUCCGACGGUCAGGGACGAAGCCUAGGGGCACGAACCGGAUUAGAUACCCGGGUAGUCCUAGGUGUAAACGCUGUGGACUUGAUGUUGGGGGUGCUCCGAGCACUCUCAGUGUCGAAGCGAAGGUGAUAAGUCCACUGCCUGGGAAGUACGGUCGCAAGGCUGAAACUUAAAGGAAUUGGCGGGGGAGCACCGCAACCUGAGGAUUGUGCGGUUUAAUUGGAUUCAACGCCGGA
RNAcentral lists this ribosomal RNA (916 nucleotides) under uncultured marine archaeon. RNAcentral's name for it is "bacterial SSU rRNA". It matches the Rfam family "Archaeal small subunit ribosomal RNA", at positions 1 to 922 of the family's 1478-position model. The record is from RNAcentral.